AAUAUACUCCCUCCGUCUCAAAAUUCUUGUCUUAGAUUAGUUUAAAUACGGAUGUAUCUAAUACUAAAACAUGACUUGAUACAUCCGUAUUUAGACAAAUCUAAAACAAGAAUUUUGGGACGGAGCGAGUAUAUU
Molecule: non-coding RNA, 135 nt
Organism: Triticum aestivum (bread wheat)
Lineage: Eukaryota; Viridiplantae; Streptophyta; Magnoliopsida; Poales; Poaceae
Source: Rfam